GACGAACGCUGGCGGCGUGCUUAACACAUGCAAGUCGAGCGGAAAGGCCCUUCGGGGUACUCGAGCGGCGAACGGGUGAGUAACACGUGAGUAACCUGCCCCAGACUUUGGGAUAACCCUCGGAAACGGGGGCUAAUACCGGAUACGACACAGCUUCGCAUGGGGUCUGUGUGGAAAGUUUUUCGGUUUGGGAUGGGCUCGCGGCCUAUCAGCUUGUUGGUGGGGUGGUGGCCUACCAAGGCGACGACGGGUAGCCGGCCUGAGAGGGCGACCGGCCACACUGGGACUGAGACACGGCCCAGACUCCUACGGGAGGCAGCAGUGGGGAAUAUUGCACAAUGGGCGGAAGCCUGAUGCAGCGACGCCGCGUGAGGGAUGACGGCCUUCGGGUUGUAAACCUCUUUCAGCAGGGACGAAGCGUAAGUGACGGUACCUGCAGAAGAAGCGCCGGCCAACUACGUG
RNAcentral lists this ribosomal RNA (462 nucleotides) under uncultured bacterium. RNAcentral describes it as "partial 16S ribosomal RNA". It matches the Rfam family "Bacterial small subunit ribosomal RNA", at positions 28 to 507 of the family's 1533-position model. The record is from RNAcentral.